UGUCUUCCUGGAGUGGAGUCAUUUGAGUUCUUUAUAUAUUUUGGAGAUCAAACCCUUACAUAUUUGCCAAUGUUAAAGUUAAUUGUUUUAAAGUGAGCAAUUCAAUGGCGUUUAGUACAUUCACAAUCACCACUUUUAGUUCCAAAACAAUUUUAUCACCCCAAAGGGAAACACCGUACCUGUUAAGGAGUUAUUCCCCAUUACUUCCUCUUCCUAUCUCUUGGCAACCACCAAACUCUUUUAUGUCUUUAUGGAUUAGCUAUUCUGGAUAUUUCAUAUAAAAGGAGUCAUACAAUAUGUGACAUUUUUAUGCCUGGUUUCUUUCACUUAGCAUAAUGUUUUCAGUUCUUCCAUGUUGAAGAAACUGGAGGGUAUGUAUAUAUGCUGAUGAUCUGGUACACGGGGACAAGUGGAAGAUUCAGGAGAGAGGGUGGUUAGGAAAUAAGGUGCACACCAUCCAUUUGCAAGUGAGAAGUUGGGGAGACCCCAUCUGAUAGCUUGUAUGUAUUCUAUGGUAUAGAAGGUCGGGCUUCCACUAAGAGUGAGGAGUCAGAGGUCUCUGUGAGGAUAUAUUAUCUGAACCAGUGAUUGAGUAAAGGGGUAGUGUGUGCUAGCUAGAGGAAUGUGGUUAUGAUUGGUGAGUGGUACUAGAUACUUUAAUCUUUGCUUGCUUUUUAUUUCAGUUCACAAAAGGUCUUUUGGGAGAAAUCCUCCAAAUGUUUCAUAGUCACAGAGGGAAUAUUUCUUGUUUUCUGCUCCUUCCUCUAAGACAGUGGUCUAGCCAUAUGAGAGCUUGGGGUCUUGCCACAAGUAGGGCCCCCAAUGUGUAGCUGCUUCACAAGUCUGAAAAGUCUUUAGAUGGGUUCUCCUGAAGUAGAAACUGAGAUAGAAGCUAGUAUUUAUUAGGGAUCCGCACAUAUGAAAGAAAGGAGGAGGAAGUAAGAUUGGACAGAGGAAGCAGUGAAACUGUGAUGCAAGCCCAACAAAGCCAUGGGCAUUGAGUGUUGUCCUUCAGAUUGUCCUACAUUAGGCCAAAAUGGUUAGCUUUUUGUACCCAUGCCUGGUUCAGUCAUAGUUACAGGCUGUUCCCAAAGAUCAUGACCUUGGUUAAA
Molecule: long non-coding RNA, 1112 nt
Organism: Phyllostomus discolor (pale spear-nosed bat)
Lineage: Eukaryota; Metazoa; Chordata; Mammalia; Chiroptera; Phyllostomidae
Exons: 2
Source: RefSeq, a predicted model, not a curated record